GACGAACGCUGGCGGCGUGCUUAACACAUGCAAGUCGAACGGAAAGGCCCUGCUUUUGUGGGGUGCUCGAGUGGCGAACGGGUGAGUAACACGUGAGUAACCUGCCCUUGACUUUGGGAUAACUUCAGGAAACUGGGGCUAAUACCGGAUAGGAGCUCCUGCUGCAUGGUGGGGGUUGGAAAGUUUCGGCGGUUGGGGAUGGACUCGCGGCUUAUCAGCUUGUUGGUGGGGUAGUGGCUUACCAAGGCUUUGACGGGUAGCCUGCCUGGGAGGGUGACCGGCCACAUUGGGACUGAGAUACGGCCCAGACUCCUACGGGAGGCAGCAGUGGGGAAUAUUGCACAAUGGGCGGAAGCCUGAUGCAGCAACGCCGCGUGCGGGAUGACGGCCUUCGGGUUGUAAACCGCUUUCGCCUGUGACGAAGCGUGAGUGACGGUAAUGGGUAAAGAAGCACCGGCUAACUACGUG
This 468-nucleotide ribosomal RNA is filed under the name uncultured bacterium. RNAcentral's name for it is "partial 16S ribosomal RNA". It matches the Rfam family "Bacterial small subunit ribosomal RNA", at positions 28 to 507 of the family's 1533-position model. The record is from RNAcentral.